This 24-nucleotide non-coding RNA is filed under the name Arabidopsis thaliana (thale cress). The record is from RNAcentral. Lineage: Eukaryota; Viridiplantae; Streptophyta; Magnoliopsida; Brassicales; Brassicaceae.
AAUGUCGUUUCCGCGUCAUGUUCG